RNAcentral lists this ribosomal RNA (252 nucleotides) under uncultured bacterium. Its description in RNAcentral is "partial 16S ribosomal RNA". It matches the Rfam family "Bacterial small subunit ribosomal RNA", at positions 524 to 776 of the family's 1533-position model. The record is from RNAcentral.
UACGGAGGAUGCGGGCGUUAUCCGGAUUUAUUGGGUUUAAAGGGUGCGCAGGCGGUCUGUUAAGUCAGCGGUCAAAGCCCGGGGCUCAACCCCGGCCCGCCGUUGAAACUGGCAGUCUCGAGUUGGAGAGAAGUAUGCGGAAUGCGCGGUGUAGCGGUGAAAUGCAUAGAUAUCGCGCAGAACUCCGAUUGCGAAGGCAGCAUGCCGGCUCCACACUGACGCUGAGGCACGAAAGCGUGGGUAUCGAACAGG